Molecule: transfer RNA, 67 nt
Filed under: Hippotragus niger variani
Lineage: Eukaryota; Metazoa; Chordata; Mammalia; Artiodactyla; Bovidae
Description: tRNA-Phe
Rfam family: tRNA
About the family: Transfer RNA (tRNA) molecules are approximately 80 nucleotides in length. Their secondary structure includes four short double-helical elements and three loops (D, anti-codon, and T loops).
Source: RNAcentral
GUUAAUGUAGCUUAAAUAAAGCAAGGCACUGAAAAUGCNUAGAUGAGUACAUCAUACUCCAUAAACA